This 254-nucleotide ribosomal RNA is filed under the name uncultured bacterium. Its description in RNAcentral is "partial 16S ribosomal RNA". It matches the Rfam family "Bacterial small subunit ribosomal RNA", at positions 524 to 776 of the family's 1533-position model. The record is from RNAcentral.
UACGUAGGGCGCAAGCGUUAUCCGGAAUUAUUGGGCGUAAAGAGCUCGUAGGCGGUUUGUCGCGUCUGCCGUGAAAACUCACAGCUCAACUGUGGGCGUGCGGGCGAUACGGGCAGACUAGAGUACUGCAGGGGAGACUGGAAGUUCCUGGUGUAGCGGUGGAAUGCGCAGAUAUCAGGAGGAACACCGGUGGCGAAGGCGGCUUCCUGGUCUGCGACUGACGCUGUGGCGCGAAAGCUAGGGGAGCGAACGGG